RNAcentral lists this ribosomal RNA (464 nucleotides) under uncultured bacterium. Its description in RNAcentral is "bacterial SSU rRNA". It matches the Rfam family "Bacterial small subunit ribosomal RNA", at positions 29 to 482 of the family's 1533-position model. The record is from RNAcentral.
AACGAACGCUGGCGGCGCGUUUUAAGCAUGCAAGUCGAACGGCAAGGCAUCUUCGGAUGCCCUAGAGUGGCGAACGGGUGAGUAACACGUAGGUGAUGUGCCCUGAAGUUGGGGAUAGCUCAUGGAAACAUGGGGUAAUACCGAAUAAUCUGGCAGUUUUUGAAUUGUCAGGAAAGAGGCGUUUGCCUCGCUUUUGGAUCAGCCUGCGGCUUAUUAGCUAGUUGGUGGGGUAAUGGCUCACCAAGGCGACGAUAAGUAGCCGGCCUGAGAGGGUGAUCGGCCACACUGGAACUGAGACACGGUCCAGACUCCUACGGGGAGGCAGCAGUAGGGAAUUUUCGACAAUGGACGAAAGUCUGAUCGAGCAACGCCGCGUGAGGGAAGAAGGUCUUCGGAUUGUAAAACCUCUGUUAUAAGGGAAGAACAGUCAGAGCAGGAAAUGGCUUUGAUUUGACGGUACCUUA